CUUGCCCUCUAUAGUAGAUCUCUCAGAUUGAGGUGGGCCUGGUACACAUGGAAGUCACCCUCUCGGCCAUGGGUUGGAACCCAACUCCCCUGCUCCAAGACUGAUUUGCAGCUCUUCAACGCCUCUACAACCAUCAGACUUGGUGACGGAAAAUGUGCUCUGUUCUGGAAAAAUGCGUGGUUGAACGGAGCGGCACCAAAAGACAUUGCACCAAACCUUUUCUCUCUAGCCAGACGGAAGAAUGACACUGUCAAGAAUGCACUUCACCAGGGCCGCUGGAUGAAGGGCAUCGAGAGGCUCUCCACUACUGCUGAUUUGCUAAGCUUCAUUGACCUAUGGCAUCAGAUCAACCAAAUCACUCUCUCUGACCAGCCAGGUGAGAUUGACUGGAGAUGGACUAGCAAUAACAACUACACCGCUGCCUCGGCCUACAAUGCCCAGUUCACGGGAUCCAUCAUGAAGCCCCAGCUUAAUGCAAUCUGGAAAACAAAGGUGGAGGGGAAAGUUAAAUUCUUUGCUUGGCUCCUGGUUCUGAAUCGCCUGCCCACGGCUGACAGACUCCGUGCGAGAGGAUGUGAUCAUAAUGACACAUGCUCCCUUUGCGACCAAACUAUUGAAUCGGCAUCCCACCUAGUCUGCCAUUGCCCCUUCGCCAAGGAAGUUUGGCACAAAUUGGCUGUCCUGCAACCUGAUGUCCAACUGCCACCCACACAACCUUUCAGAUCAUCGGCGGCCUGGUGGAAAAGUUUUCUCCAUGGCCAGCGAGCACAUGCUGCAACUACGCUCUACUUUGCUUGGAAUGUUUGGAAUGAGCGAAACCGUAGAAUCUUCCAAAACCAGUCGGCUACUGCUGACAUGGUAGCUUGUUUGGUGCGUUCGGACCUGGCUUCGUUAGUUCUG
RNAcentral lists this ribosomal RNA (900 nucleotides) under Triticum aestivum (bread wheat). Its description in RNAcentral is "partial small subunit ribosomal RNA". Lineage: Eukaryota; Viridiplantae; Streptophyta; Magnoliopsida; Poales; Poaceae. The record is from RNAcentral.